UAUUACACAUGACAUUUCAGAUAAAGAUGUUUUAAGAAUGAUAGAUGACUUUAUUUUUCAAUCUAAAACACACAUCCAUUAUUAUGUAAAUUAUAUUUUUUUUCUUAUUAUUUGUUUGAGUAGGGGAAAUACAAUAAAAGCGUUAAAGAAGUAAUAAUAUCCGCAUAUCAGUAGUAACAUUAAUAUAAAACUGUAAUAUUAUUUCGUUGUUCUCAUUGCUCAGUACAAUGAUAUUUAUAAGUGUAUUAACUAUUCUGGUAUGUAUUGCCAUAAGUUACUUCGUCCUGAGUUACCAUCGCCGAUGGUCUUCUAAAACCGUAAAUACCUUGCCUGGUCCAAGAACACUACCGUUUAUUGGGAAUGCCCACCAUCUUCUCCAGCGAAAUCCUAACGAAAUGUUGAAUAUUUUCACUAAGUGGGCAAAAGAUUAUCCGUCUCCAUUCCGAGUUUGGAUGGGUAACAAGUUAUUAAUUUUUUUAAAUGAACCAGAUCAAAUAAAGGUAGUGAAAUAAAACAUAUUCGUAUUCUACAAUAUAACUAUACUACAUAAAAAAAAAUUAAAAGGCCACUUUCUUCUACGGAAAAGGCAAUUUUCAAGUGACUGCAACUUCAUCGCAUAUAAUCAGAUUGAGAUCAAUAGAAAAGCGUUACAAAGUUCCUAGUUUCAAAACCUUUCAGUCGAGUUCAAUUCUUUUUAUUUGUUACAAAAUUACGUUAUGAGAAAGCGAUGUCCGUCGAUUGACUUUGUCAAAAGUUUGUCAAGGAGUGCUGAAGAAAAAAAA
Molecule: long non-coding RNA, 782 nt
Organism: Formica exsecta
Lineage: Eukaryota; Metazoa; Arthropoda; Insecta; Hymenoptera; Formicidae
Exons: 2
Source: RefSeq, a predicted model, not a curated record